GCGGGAGGAGAUCCAAAAAACAGCUGAGGAGUGCGAGGUUAUGUGGGAGCAGAGCGGGAGAGAUGACAAGCCUGUCGGACCAUUGCGGUAUUUCAUUAAGAACACUGCACGAAAGAUGCGGCGGUUAGCCAGCUUGCUAGGUUGCCGGGAAGCCGAAAUCGCUACAUCUUCCUCUUCAGAAGAGCGGGAGAUUCCUGAGGACGAGCUAAUUCUGAGUCAAGGCAUACUUCCAAAGCAUACCUCCAAGCAAGCCCCAAGGUCAG
Non-coding RNA from Lolium perenne, 263 nucleotides. Lineage: Eukaryota; Viridiplantae; Streptophyta; Magnoliopsida; Poales; Poaceae. The record is from RefSeq and is a predicted model, not a curated record.